RNAcentral lists this ribosomal RNA (465 nucleotides) under uncultured bacterium. RNAcentral describes it as "bacterial SSU rRNA". It matches the Rfam family "Bacterial small subunit ribosomal RNA", at positions 338 to 795 of the family's 1533-position model. The record is from RNAcentral.
CCUACGGGUGGCAGCAGUAGGGAAUCUUCGGCAAUGGACGGAAGUCUGACCGAGCAACGCCGCGUGAGUGAAGAAGGUUUUCGGAUCGUAAAACUCCGUUGGUAGAGAAGAACGUUGGUGAGAGUGGAAAGCUCAUCAAGUGACGGUAACUACCCAGAAAGGGACGGCUAACUACGUGCCAGCAGCCGCGGUAAUACGUAGGUCCCGAGCGUUGUCCGGAUUUAUUGGGCGUAAAGCGAGCGCAGGUGGUUUAUUAAGUCUGGUGUAAAAGGCAGUGGCUCAACCAUUGUAUGCAUUGGAAACUGGUAGACUUGAGUGCAGGAGAGGGGAGUGGAAUUCCAUGUGUAGCGGUGAAAUGCGUAGGUAUAUGGAGGAACACCGGUGGCGAAAGCGGCUCUCUGGCCUGUAACUGACACUGAGGCUCGAAAGUGUGGGGAGCAAACAGGAUUAGAUACCCUUGUAGUC